UUAAGCCAAUUACAUUAUUCCAGUCGGCCAAAUUCUUAGCUAUUUCACUAGUGUUACUUCUAUUCUAUCGAUUGAGCACAAGAAAUUGCCAAGUCAACUGUUUCAACUACAAAAUAAAGUGAUCGGAAAUUGGUAAUUUGGCCAGUUUAACACAAAGUGCAAAAUAUUCUAAUUUCAAAACAGGGUCCAGAAUAAACAAUGCAGACAUUCCUGGAACUAAACUAACAUUUCCUCUGUUUAUUAGUUACAUUUUGAGGCUUUACAAAUGAAUUCCAUUUUGAUUUUUUAUUCACAUAAUGAAUUUUUAUUCAAACCAAAAAAUAGAAGAUUUACUGUUAUGCAAUAUUGUAAUAAUUGUAUAAAUAAUAUCGCCACAUUUGUGAACGUAUAUUAGACACACCAGCUGGCGUGUAUUAGACGUGUGAGGUCAUUUGUUUACUGUUGAACAUCGGCAAAAAUUUAUCAUUUCUGCUACUUUGAGCUCAGUUUCAAGCAAUUUUCAUUACUAAAACCAAUCAAAAUCUUCUCAAUUUCUGUAAUAUAUCUUCCAUUCUAUCAAUUGAGACCAAGAAAUCGCGAAUACAACAAUAAAAAACAUACAAAAAAACACUGCAAACUCGCUGUUUUAAUUGAAAAUUACUGUCUCAGUUUUUUUCUCUCAUUAUGCACUGUGUGCUGCAGGAUUUGUUUUAUGUGGUGCACACAUACCACAUAGAUGUAUUUUCUCAUAUCUAGGCCCAAAUUUACCACUCACAGCUUAUCAGAGUGAGCUGAGCUCAUAGCAUAGAUCUACGGUUUGGAUCCUCAACGUAUAGCCGUAGAACUAUGGCACGGACCCUGAAAGGGUUAAAAAGUAAAAUACACACACAGUAUACUCAUUAUUUACCUCAAAAUAUUUGUAGUCUUAAUGUAGGGCUAAAAGUGAGUAGUAUUUACUGUAAGAAGUCAGGUGUGGAAGCCCUCCUGGCCACCCCACCCGCACAUAUAAUACAGUGGACCCCCGCAUAACGAUUACCUCUGAAUGCGACCAAUUAUGUAAGUGUAUUUAUGUAAGUGCGUUUGUACAUGUAUGUUUGGGGGUCUGAAAUGGACUAAUCUACUUCACAAUAUUUCUUAUGGGAACAAAUUCGGUCAGUACUGGCACCUGAACAUACUUAUGGAGUGAAAAAAUAUCGUUAACCGGGGGUCCACUGUACUAUGAUGCUUAAAGCUCCCUAGUGAUAGAAUGCAUAUACAUACAGUGGUCCCUCGAUAAUCGUAGAUUUCGGAAAUCAUAGGGAUAUUUUCGUAUAAACAUGGGCUCCCUAAUCGUAGGUUGACUCGCGAACAGUAGGUUGUCCGGGACGCUUACGCACGGUGUGAGCCGGGGCGGCCUCCCUACCCAGCCAGUGUGGCAUUGUUUACCAGUGAGCGAAGGUCCACUCACGUGCUCCUACGAAAUAUUUCAUAAUAUUCCACUCAUUUUAGUGCUUGCAAGUACUAAAUAAGCUACCAUGGCUCCAAAGAAAGCUCCUAGUGCCAAGCCUGUGGUAAAGAAGGUGAGAAAUACGAUUGAAUUUAAGAAAAACAUCAUUGAACAAUAUGAAAGUGGCACAAGUGCGGCCAAACUGGCCAGGAUGUAUAAGAAACCCUACACAACUAUAUGUUCCAUCGUGGCCAAGAAAGAGGAAAUCAAGGACGCUGUUGUUGGGGUUGGAUGUGAGUUUGGAGGAUGUGGAAGAGUUGGUGGAAGACCACAAUGAAGAGCUCACCACUGAGGAGCUGCAAGAGCUUCAGCAGGAACAGCAACAGAUCGCAGCUCAGAAUCUUGCUGCAGAGGAGGAGGAAGAGAGAUGGAAGAAGGUGCCUUCUUCAGAAAUUAGAGAUUUUUGCUAUGUGGGGUAAGAUGGAAAGAUUUAUGGAGAAACAUCACCCUGACAAGGCUGUUGCAAGCCAUGUUGGCAACAUGUACAGUGACAAAGUCUUGGGCCAUUUUAGGGAAGUGUUAAAGAGACGCCAGAAACAGAGCUCUCUCCACAGUUAUUUUCCGAGACAGGACUCCAGUGACUAUCAAGCUGGUCCUAGUGGCAUUAAGAAACAGAGAAGAGAAGCAACCCCAGAAAAGCAACUGGUACCUGAGGUGUUGCUGGAAGGGGAUUCCCCUUCCAAACUGUAAACAAUCCAAUCUCUCUCCUCCUCCAGUCUCCCAUACACUAAGAAGAAUCUCCAAUAAAGGUAAGUGUUAUGCUGUUAAUGUUUCAUUCAUCAUUUCCCAUUGUAUUGUUUAUGUACUACAUCUAUAUUUCAUGUAAAAAGAUUUUUUGUUUUAAUACAGUGGACCCCCGGUUAACGAUAUUUUUUCAUUCCAGAAGUAUGUUCAGGUGCCAGUACUGACCGAAUUUGUUCCAAUAAGGAAUAUUGUGAAGUAGAUUAGUCCAUUUCAGACCCCCAAACAUACACGUACAAACGCACUUACAUAAAUACACUUACAUAAUUGGUCGCAUUCAGAGGUAAUCGUUAUGCGGGGGUCCACUGUACAUCCAAAAUUGAUUAAUGUGAACUUUGAAAGCCUUUAUUCCCGUACUAUUUAAUUUUGAGAGAACCUUUUUUUUUUUAUAACAUUUCUAAAAGUAAUGGCAGUAUAUAGAGGUUUAUAAGAGCACUGAUUGUUUAUAGAGGAGCUUUAUAAGAGAACUGACUGUAUAUAAAGAGCUUUGUAAAAGCUGUAUAUAGAGGAGUGACUAUAUAAAAUAGCUGUAUAAGAGUGCUGACUGUGCUCUGUAUUAUUCACAAAGUUGAGAUGGAGCUUAAACUUUGUUUUGGAUGUCAAUCAAAUCUUAUGUCACUUAAAAACAGUUCUCGACCAAGACCUGAAGGUUGGUCCAGAACCGACACCUCGUCUAAAACCUCAACUUCCAGGCUGGGAGUCAGUUAUGAAUUGUUGCAGCCACAUUAUUGUGAUAUAUUCUUCCCAUAGUCUUCAUUAGAAGUGAAAGUAACUCAUGAAAAAAGAAUCGUUGUAUAUAUUAAUAUAUAUAUAAUAUAUAUAUAUAUAUAUAUAUAUAUAUAUAUACAUACAGUGGAACCUCAAAUAUUGAACUGCUCCCAGCUCAACCAAUUAUGUAAGUGUUUUUUAUAAGUGUAUUUUUGAGGGUCUGAAAUGAACUAAUUUAAUUUACAUUACUCCUGAUGAGAAUAAAUUCGUUCGGUAACAGCACUCGAACAGUCGUCUGGCACGAAGGAAGUUCGAUAUUUGAGGUUCCACUGUAUAUAUAUAAUCUAAAAAAAAAUCAAAGUUUAGAUAGAAGGAAGCAUAAUGUGAUGUUCGUUGUACAUGUCCUUUAACCUUAUAUAUUGUUGGUGCAUGAAAUCGUAACGAUUGCAAAAAAUCUGGGAACAGAUGGGAAUUGAACCCACAGCAAGUCGUAAAACUCGCAGGCUAACAUGUUAACAGCUUGACCAGCUGACUCGAAUGAGAUUCAUACAACUAACCAUACUUCUACACUUCAUAGGAAGGAUAGCAUGAGCCACACACACUGACCGUGUGACAGCAAAUACCAGUUUUUACGAACAAAUUCCACACCAGCACGUGUUGCAACUGUCUCAAAGCCGGUCACAGUGGGGGCCCAUGCUAACCUUAUGGUGUAUAAAAUAUAGCUAGCUGCCCAAGUGGUUAGCACACUUGCCUGCCAGGUUUACCACCCACCUGACAGAGGUUCAAGUCCCACCCAUUCAAUUAUUUAUUUUGUUAGUAAUUCUACAAAUGUCAAAAAAAAAAAAAAAAAAAAAAAAAAAGCUUAAAGGUGUAGGUCGAUCUAUAUCACUUUGGCAAGUGAUAUAGAUCAACCUUUGUAAAUACACUCAGGCUCGCCUUUGCAAAGAAAAAGCUCAUUGGAGGGCAUUGUGCUGUGUGUGUGUGUAGAGCAUUUGGUGAUGACAUGACAGAGCUCUGUAAAGCUUUUAUUUACACUUUUUGCCCUGUAGAGCUUUAUUAUAAAACUCGAUGCUUCUUUGAAUUAAAUCUAGGAAUGUAGAGCUUCAUUAUAAAGCUCUAAACAGCUCUGAAUUAGAUAUUUCUCUGAUGAGCUUCAUUAUAAAGCUCCAAACAGGUUUUAAUUAUUUAGCCUUGAAGAGCUUCAUUAUGAUAAAGCUCCAUGCUGAGCAUGAUGAUGUACCAGUAAGAGCUUGUUCACCAGUACAAUGAGCGUGUAUCAACCUUUUUGUUCAGUAUUGUUCAUAAUGUGAUUGGUGCCAGGCACAGUACAGUGACAGAUUAUUUUUGUAUCCAAUGAUGUAAUUAUCUUUAAUUUCUUCUGUGAUAAUGCAGUGGAGCACCGGACCAGUUCUUAGGAGCGCCGGACCAGUUCUUAGGAGUGCCGGACCAGUUCUUAGGAGCGCCGGACCAGUUCUUAGGAGCGCCGGACCAGUUCUUAGGAGCACCGGACCAGUUCUUAGGAGCACCGGACCAGUUCUUAGGAGUGCCGGACCAGUUCUUAAGACCUUGGCAUUGUAAGUUCGAGGCUUGAUCGUUCCACUGAAUUUGUUCAUUGAUAAUGUUCAGCACAUUUAUGUUCUUUGUCCUGCAAAAAAAUGUUUAUUGGGAGACAAUAAAAGACUAUUGAACAUGU
This is a non-coding RNA of Cherax quadricarinatus, 4607 nucleotides long. The record is from RefSeq and is a predicted model, not a curated record. Lineage: Eukaryota; Metazoa; Arthropoda; Malacostraca; Decapoda; Parastacidae.